Musa acuminata AAA Group (dessert banana) is the source of this 3722-nucleotide RNA transcript. It is a transcript of the gene named auxin response factor 18-like, with no coding region annotated. The record is from RefSeq and is a predicted model, not a curated record. NCBI's taxonomy places the organism in Eukaryota, Viridiplantae, Streptophyta, Magnoliopsida, Zingiberales, Musaceae. The transcript has 6 exons.
CUCUUCUCUUCUCCACUGAAGAGAAGGAAAGCUCAGCUCGUAUUAUAAUAUACGAGAUCCGAGGAGGAGCGAAAUCGACAGUGCGGAUAGGCUCUCUCCUUCGGUCGCCUAAGAAUACGGGCGAGGAGAGUCCAAGUUUGGCUGUGGGGCGAGAAGCGGAAGCGGAAAGAUUGCAUCUUGGGUUGGUUUCUCUGUCGAAUAGGUUCUGGUGAUUUUUGUUCGUUUGAGUUAUUGGUCUGAAAUUUUGUCGUUUCUUUUGGCAAGUUGGGGUUCGGGAGAGGAGACUUGGUGAAAAUUGUAAUAGCUUUGGUGGAAAAGACGGACAUGAACUUGGUUCAGUCGGGUUCCGUAGUAGUAGGGUUUUGAGUUGAGGGAAUUGGUUGAGAUCGGACGGAGUUGUAUUUUUAUUUUCUUUUACCUUUUUCUGGUUGGAUUUUCUUAGAGACUUCGGUUAAUGAAUAUAGGUCGGACUUUUGAGGGUUUUGCUGCUGCUUUUGACCGACUUUGAGAGGAGAAGAUAUUUCUUGGUGCUCUAUCCUGUGCCGGCAAUUUCUUCGUUCUCCAAUCGCAUCAGUUGUACUCGAAAGGAUGGAACGAAACUUAUGGAGGAUAUGAAGAAUUGCCUUGCGUGAAAGCAUUCUUGAAAGACUAACUAGAAUUGCCCUUGCCCGUGAUCGUGUUCGACGAAGCCAAGAAAGGAUCAUCGAUGAAGGACACUGACAAGUGCCUGGACUCCCAGCUCUGGCAUGCUUGUGCCGGUGGGAUGGUUCGGAUGCCGGCCACGAACUCCAGGGUCUACUACUUCCCCCAGGGUCAUGCAGAACAUUCCCAAGGGGUUGUGGACUUUGGGAAUCUGCAGCGGAUUCCACCUUUCAUACUCUGCCAAGUUACCACAGUCAAGUUCAUGGCUGAUCUGGAAACGGACGAGGUCUUUGCCAAGAUCCGGAUGGCCCCCAUCAGGAGUGGCAUCCCGGACUACAUCGAAGAUGAAGGAUUGGUUCCGGAGAUGAACGAAAUCGAUGUGCAUGAGAAGCCCACUUCUUUUGCCAAGACAUUGACCCAAUCGGAUGCAAACAAUGGUGGUGGAUUUUCUGUUCCUCGCUACUGUGCGGAGACCAUCUUCCCCAGGUUGGACUACACAGCAGACCCUCCUGUGCAGAAUGUAAUCGCAAAGGAUGUACAUGGCAAGGUGUGGAAGUUUAGACAUAUAUACAGGGGGACACCUCGCCGACACCUGCUCACCACCGGAUGGAGUAACUUUGUAAACCAGAAGAAACUUGUGGCUGGGGAUUCCAUCGUGUUCCUUAGAGCAGAGAAUGGGGACCUCUGUGUUGGUAUACGGCGUGCCAAAAGAGGUGGGGUUGGCGAUAGCCCAGCGACGCAAUCAGCAUGGAGUCCCCAGGGCAGAAAUGGUGCGUCCAGCUAUGGUGGCUUAUCUGCCGUCCUGACGGAGGAAGAGAGCAAAUUGAUGAGAGGUAAUGACAGUCAUUCUGUAUUCAGCCGAGGUAUAAGGGGAAGGGGCCAAGUGAGGGCAGACUCUGUCGUUGAGGCAGCAACACAUGCAGCAAAUGGGCAGCCUUUUGAGGUUGUGUACUACCCUAGAGCCAGUACGCCGGAAUUUUGUGUAAAGGCCGCAGCUGUAAAAGCAGCACUGAGGAUCCAGUGGUAUCCAGGGAUGAGAUUUAAGAUGGCUUUUGAAACUGAGGAUUCAUCAAGGAUUAGUUGGUUCAUGGGAACUAUAUCUUCAGUUCAGGUUGCAGAUCCCAUAAGAUGGCCUAAUUCGCCAUGGAGACUUCUUCAGGUGACAUGGGAUGAACCAGACCUCUUACAGAAUGUCAAGCGUGUGAACCCAUGGCUAGUUGAACUGGCUUCAAACAUGCCAGCCAUAAAUCUUGGACAUCUCCCACCACCCAUAAAAAAGCAACGCGUUCUCCAGCAACCUCCAUUUGAAGGUCAAUUUCCAGUACCAAUGGUCUCUGGAACCCCCUCCGUCCCAAGGGGCAGCCCCUAUUGCUGCUUCUCUGACAGCGCUGCUGCAGGCAUACAGGGAGCCAGGCAUGCACAAUUUGAUAUAUCUUUAUCAGAUCUCCACCUUAAUAAACUGCAGACGGGUUUGUUCCAUGCUGGGUUUCACCGGCUUGAUCAUGCCACUCCACCCUCGAGGAUUUCCACGGGUGUUAUUGUUGGCAAUCCCACUAUUCAUGACAAGGUAUCAUGUUUGCUUACAAGCGGUCAUCCUUCUCAGGGCCUGAAUAAAUCAUGUAACGGAAAACUGCCACAGUUGGUGCUAUUUGGCCAGCCAAUACUGACUGAACAACAGAUUUCGUUGUGCAAAUCUGAGACUAUGAUCUUCGAUGAUGCUACUGGAACCAGCUCAUCAGAUGGGAAUCUCGAGAAGGCAACGAAUGUUUCUGAUGGUUCUGGAUUUGCAAUAAAUCAUAAGGGCCCUCUUGAAGCAUUCGCUCAUCGCAGGGAUCAUCGAGCUUUGGAGCUUAUUAUCGAGGCUGAGCACUGUAAGGUAUUUAUGGAAUCGGAGGAUGUUGGUCAUAGCCUUGACCUCUCUGUCUUUGGCUCAUAUGAAGAACUAUACGAGAGGCUUGGUGAUAUGUUUGGAAUUGAAAAAUCAGAGAUGAUAACCCAUAUGUUUUACAAGGAUGCAGCUGGUGCACUUAAACACGCUGGAGAUGAACCUUUCAGUAACUUCAUGAAGACAGCCAGAAGACUGACUAUAUUAACCGAUUCAGGAAACGCAACUCAGCAGGGUAGGGAAAGUCUCUUGCCGAUUGUAUAGUUGAACAGACCUCUUCUCAAAGUACCCACAUCAUAGGCACGCCAUUCUUGGAUGCUGUUUUUUCAAUGAUUCCAAAGCCAUUUUUCUGUAUAAAGUCAGUUCCCAGUAUGAACUUUUCAAUUGGAGACAAAUUAUUAUCAACUUUAGCAAAAUGAGAGAUGAAAACAUGAAGUUUUAUACUUGGUUAGUGUAAAUUUAGUCAACUCAAAAUAGUUGGCGUUGAGCUGGAAUGCUAGUUGGCCAUAAUGUUGCCGAAAAGAAUGCAGAUUCUGCAGAUUUCAUUAGCUCAUUAUAAUUAUCCCAGUUCCAUGUCAGUAUCACAUGGAUCAUUUUUUGAAACUUGGAAACACUGAAGACUGGAAUCCAGGUUCUACUGCUGCUCACUGCCCAGGGUGUUACGAAUUCAGACGAUUGAUGACAAAUUGGCAUAUUUCUCAUUGCAUUAGUUUUUAGCAGUCAUCACCACUGCCUGAAUCAACUGAAGAGAGGCUUGGAAGCUGCAGUAGAAGAUUUUCAAUGCUUAAGAAGCUGCCAUUCAUCCAAGUUGAGUUCAUGCUUCAAUAACCAUCAUAUUUUUUUGUCAAGAAGGUAUGUAGAUCCUUGUCCCACCACACUUGCGUUCUGUGACAGAGAAGUGGAGUAUUAAACACACAAGCAGUAUGUUCCAAAUAUGAACUGUUUCAUUGGUGCAAGUCUCAACAACAGAGUUCUCAACUCCUGGAAAAGUGAGAUUUGUUGAAAGAAAUGUUCCAGCAAACUAUGUAGGAGCCAUCUGGUUCAACUAGAUAUGCCCCAUCUCACCUUUGCCUUCUUUGUUUGUGGUCUUCCAUACCCAUCUUUUAUCUUCACUGGCAUAAUUGCUGACUCUGCUAUUGUAUUAGUAUGGUUAUAAGUCACAGAUCUAUUAAAUGACGGUGUUCAUCACUCCUAA